RNAcentral lists this ribosomal RNA (440 nucleotides) under uncultured bacterium. Its description in RNAcentral is "partial 16S ribosomal RNA". It matches the Rfam family "Bacterial small subunit ribosomal RNA", at positions 339 to 795 of the family's 1533-position model. The record is from RNAcentral.
CUACGGGCCGCAGCAGUGGGGAAUAUUGCACAAUGGGCGCAAGCCUGAUGCAGCAACGCCGUGUGAACGAUGAAGGCCUUCGGGUUGUAAAGUUCUUUUCUUAGGGAAGAAUAAAUGACGGUACCUAAGGAAUCAGCCCCGGCUAACUACGUGCCAGCAGCCGCGGUAAUACGUAGGGGGCAAGCGUUAUCCGGAAUCACUGGGCGUAAAGGGAGUGUAGGCGGUCAAACAAGUCAGGGGUGAAAGGCAUCGGCUCAACCGAUGUAAGCCUUUGAAACUGUUUGACUUGAGUGCAGGAGAGGUAAGUGGAAUUCCUAGUGUAGCGGUGAAAUGCGUAGAUAUUAGGAGGAACACCAGUGGCGAAGGCGACUUACUGGACUGUAACUGACGCUGAGGCUCGAAAGCGUGGGGAGCGAACAGGAUUAGAUACCCUCGUAGUC